GAUGAACGCUGGCGGCGUGCUUAACACAUGCAAGUCGAACGAGAAAUGGAGACGGAAACCUUCGGGCGGAAGGCUUCAUUUCGAGUGGCGGACGGGUGAGUAACGCGUGGGUAACCUGCCUCAUACAGGGGGAUAACAGUUGGAAACGACUGUUAAUACCGCAUAAGACCACAGCACCGCAUGGUGCGGGGGUAAAAACUCCGGUGGUAUGAGAUGGACCCGCGUUCGAUUAGCCAGUUGGCGGGGUAACGGCCCACCAAAGCGACGAUCGAUAGCCGAGCUGAGAGGAUGACCGGCCACAUUGGGACUGAGACACGGCCCAAACUCCUACGGGAGGCAGCAGUGGGGAAUAUUGCAAAAUGGGGGAAACCCUGAUGCAGCGACGCCGCGUGAGUGAAGAAGUACUUCGGUAUGUAAAGCUCUAUCAGCAGGGAAGAAAAUGACGGUACCUGAGGAAGAAGCCCCGGCUAACUACGUG
RNAcentral lists this ribosomal RNA (478 nucleotides) under uncultured bacterium. RNAcentral describes it as "partial 16S ribosomal RNA". It matches the Rfam family "Bacterial small subunit ribosomal RNA", at positions 28 to 507 of the family's 1533-position model. The record is from RNAcentral.